Molecule: ribosomal RNA, 498 nt
Filed under: uncultured bacterium
Lineage: Bacteria
Description: partial 16S ribosomal RNA
Rfam family: Bacterial small subunit ribosomal RNA
Source: RNAcentral
AGCGAACGCUGGCGGCGUGCCUAACACAUGCAAGUCGAACGUGAAAAGGGAAACCUGAGUAAAGUGGCGUACGGGUGAGUAACGCGUAGGUAAUCUACCCCAGAAUCUAGAAUAACCUGCCGAAAGGCGGGCUAAUACUGGAUAGAGCGAGGGAACUCGUAAGAGAGUUUUUCGGGAAAGGGAGCCCGCAAGGGCCUUCGUUCUGGGAUGAGCCUGCGUCUCAUUAGCUAGUUGGUAAGGUAACGGCUUACCAAGGCGAUGAUGAGUAGCUGGUCUGAGAGGAUGAUCAGCCACACUGGAACUGAAACACGGUCCAGACUCCUACGGGAGGCAGCAGUGGGGAAUCUUGCGCAAUGGACGAAAGUCUGACGCAGCCACGCCGCGUGAGUGAAGAAGGCCUUCGGGUUGUAAAGCUCUGUCGGAUGGGACGAACAUCUUCAUAGUGAAUAGCUAUGAGGACUGACGGUACCAUCAAAGGAAGCACCGGCUAACUCCGUG